Molecule: long non-coding RNA, 747 nt
Organism: Lathyrus oleraceus (garden pea)
Lineage: Eukaryota; Viridiplantae; Streptophyta; Magnoliopsida; Fabales; Fabaceae
Exons: 3
Source: RefSeq, a predicted model, not a curated record
UCUCACAAUUAGGGAUUAUCAUGGGCUGGAUAGGUGAGCCCAAACCCAAGCCAUUUGAAUAGGAUAAACCAAAGUUCCACAAGAACCAUUCAGCCUUGUUCGCUCCCUUACACGCUCUUAUCUCUCCCUUGCUCAAAGCACUUGCCGAAAAACUCAACAGCUCCUCCGCACUGAUCGUCGGGCGGCAGAGCACGUAAUGACUCACCCUAUACGGUUCCAAUCGUUUCAAACCCCUCAAUCAAAAUCCGGUCUCGGUUUACGCCAACUCUCCCUCACGAACAUAAACCAAAGCUAACUGUUACAUAAAUCCUAACCAUGAAUUGCAAUCGAAGCUUCACAGAACUACCUUCGAAAACGCGCUCGGCCGUGGUGACGGAAGAGUAUGGAAGAGAAGGCUCAUUGAGGAUGAUGAGGUGGAGUGGUGCAGAGUGUGCAAAUGAUGAAAAAGAACGUGAAGAAGAUUCGUGGAAUCGAUCAACCCCCUGAAUGUAUGGCAAGUGGAUGUAUGUGUGGUUCUGUCUUGGACAAUGUUGACGUUUGUAGGUUCGAUGAAUGUAAGGCUUGAUGGUUGUGGAGGCUUAUGGAAGCAUCAUGGCAUGGUGGUUUGGUGGGCCUUCAAAUUCAAUUAAGAUUCUCUUUUCUUUCCAAUUUUGAUUCAAAUGUAUUAUAACAAUGUAGCAUGAUGUAAUAAAACUAGAUAAUGGAUUUAUGCAAAAUGAUUCAUGCAAUGUUAAUGCUUAUGGUUCA